UUCAAUUUUAAACAUGUCUAGGAAUGAUUGUGGUAUACGUGGACUACAGUUUAUUAUCCAAUCCACAGAAAAGUCUCCCGGGAACAUUGAGCAAAGGGUCGAGGCAUUUCUCAAAAUGUUUGAGACCAAGAUUUAUGAGAUGACAAUUGAUGAGUUCAAGAUACGCCUGUCCUACACCUUGUGAGCUCUGAAUUAAAUGCUCUCUGGAAGCAUUACAAACAUAGAUGUCUGGAACGGUAGAGGAUAUCUACAUGUCCACUUGAUGGGAAUGUACACAAGUAGUGUCUAUGCCUAGGGCUUUAUGUGCAUCAUUGAUAACAAUCAUUAAGCAAGGAAAACUACAUUUACACAUCCAUUGUAAAACGACUGGUAAUGGCCAAAAUUGAGUAAGUAAUCAUAAAUAUGCAUAAAAAUGCUCCAAAUCUUUUUCCGUAUUACUAUUAACUGUAAUGUAUUUGAAAUUGGACAUUGAGCCUAACUUGACCUCAACACCAAUUUGUAAAAUAGGGUUUGCACCACACUUAUAUACUAUAAUUUGAUCAUACUUUUAGUCAAUAUGGAAUCUCUAUCACCUUCUCAUGCCAAGGAUUGAACAUCUCGAUUGUGAAACUAUAUAUUUGUGGGACUAGGUAUAAAAUUCUCUAUUUCCUUAUGUAGUUUAAGAAGGUUCCAAAGUCUAUUCUCACGAGUUUUGUUGAGCAACCACCCAUAAAUAUUUAUUUCCAUACUCAAUAUAUCCUUUAUUCGACACAAGGUGGUGUGUUAGAGAUUCCUUAUUGACUAA
Molecule: non-coding RNA, 784 nt
Organism: Vigna umbellata (rice bean)
Lineage: Eukaryota; Viridiplantae; Streptophyta; Magnoliopsida; Fabales; Fabaceae
Source: RefSeq, a predicted model, not a curated record